This 1197-nucleotide long non-coding RNA is filed under the name Carassius auratus (goldfish). RNAcentral's name for it is "lncRNA (ENSCARG00000057642.1)". Lineage: Eukaryota; Metazoa; Chordata; Actinopteri; Cypriniformes; Cyprinidae. The record is from RNAcentral.
AUAUGUGUGUAUAUAUAUAUGUAUAUGUGUGUGUAUAUAUAUAUAUAUAUAUAUAUAUAUAUAUAUAUAUAUAUAUAUAUAUAUAUAUAUAUAUAUAUAUAUUGAGUAAUUUAGUGUUUGUCUUUUUUUGUAUGUCCUUUUUUAUUAUUAAUUUAGGGCAAAUGAAACUUUUUUUAAUAAAGUUUAUAUAUAUAUAUAUAUAUAUAUAUAUAUAUAUAUAUAUAUAUAUAUAUAUAUAUAUAUAUAAAGAAUGUUCAUAUAAAGUUAACGUUUAUUUUAUUAUAGUUUAUAUUAUUGUUUAUAUAUAUCUAUAUAUAGAGUUUUUGUUAACUGUAACAACCCUGCUUCUGGAAAUUGAUUUGAUCUAAUAACCAGAGACCGUGCGCGCUCCCGCAUCUUGCGCACAGCUCUGCUCAGGUGAAACACGAGACGCGCUCUGUGCACCUGUCUUACCUGCUUGAGCGCAACACAUCCGCAGACACCUCGGUGAAAUUCUCUCGAAGCCUGAGACCUGUCUCAUCACAAAUAUCUACGAACAGUCUUCUUGGAUCUACAGAUGUUUGUGUGUUUCCUCCGGCACUCGGAAGCGCAGUCAUGAUGCAGCACAAUAGGAAGUACUCGCCACCGCGCUUCUGCGCCGUCGGGUCACCGCUAGCCCUGCCUCAACUGAACCGAUUACCCACUCUUUGGUUAGAAGAAGCUGAGCUGAUGGAGAAGAAUUCGCCGAAAGCCAAAUCCAGAAUGCGAAAUGCCAUGGUGAAGGCGGUGAGGAGAGCUCCGUCUCCCCAGAGGCCUCGAGUCUUUCCAAACCCCGCGCAAAGCGACGCGCUACUGAAGGUGGCAGAGAACGGGGCAGCCGCACAGCGGUCUAGAAAGAGGGGCUUCAAACCCCCGGAUGUGAGGACGAUAUUCGACCCCCGCGUGAAAGAGGAGAAAGGAGAAGGACACACGUUUUGUGAGGACGCGACGUACGCUUGGUGCGAUGUGUGUUGCUCGUAUAUCUUUCACGGUGGAUUGACAUGUACAGGUUGUAAAUACACGUGUCAUGCUCAGUGCCGUGACCAGGUGGCGCUAGACUGUCAUCAGAACGGAUCCAUUAAUGGCUACCCACUCAACCCUCUUGCUCAGGACCAUAUUAACAACAAUCAAUCCUCAGACAGCGUGAGUACAGAGUUUAUUCAUGUCUACUUUCACUGA